Molecule: long non-coding RNA, 1600 nt
Organism: Symphalangus syndactylus (siamang)
Lineage: Eukaryota; Metazoa; Chordata; Mammalia; Primates; Hylobatidae
Source: RefSeq, a predicted model, not a curated record
ACGUGCUCCUCCUUGCUUUCCGCCGUGAUUGUGAGGCCUCCCCAGCCAUGUGGAACUGUAAGUCCAUUGAACCUCUUUCUUCUGUAAACUGCCAAGUCUCAGGUGUAUCUUUAUCAGCAGCAUGAGAACAGACUAAUACAGUGCCUUUCAAACAUGUUUGCAAUGAUGUUUUCAGUGUGUGCCCACCUCUCUUUGGUGAAUCCAUGAAGAAUAUUUAGCACAAAUCUCAACAAUUGUGUAGAUCAAGAACAAGUUAUUGGUAUCCCAGUUUCCAAUUCGAAUAACAGCACGAGUUUAUUUGGCUUGAUUUCCCCAGGGCUUACCUUUUUCCCACAAAAUAUCAUAUAUUUAAAUGUGUUCAAUCUCCAAAACAGCAUAAUAGUCAUUACAGAGAAGGUUGAUUGUGUUUUCUGAACAAAAAGUACAAUUUUUGCUACUUUUUAGAGUCAGUCUGGGAGGUGUAAUUGGAGGCAGAAAUAUUUAAGUUUGGGCUCAUCUAUUAAAAGAUCAAAGAACACAUUAUUUGAAUUGUGGCUGCCCCAAAAGUACAUUCAGGUCAUUUGAUGGAGAUCCUGGCAUCCAUUGAGUCCAACAUUCACCCCACCUUUUAUGUGUACUGGCAGAAGCAGACUCAGUAACAAUGUAGGAGGCCUAGCCAGUGACAUUCUUUCUUGUCAUAGUAAUCUCUAUUUCUUUUUUCUUAUUGUUCUUAGAGUCCCAGUGGAGAAGAUUGGGCAUGGCAGUGAAAGAGCUAAAACAGGUGACGGGCCAGGAGGAAAGACAGGAUGUGUAAAGUUCCUGGACAAAUAAUAAUUAGUAAUAAAAAUAAGAACAAGCACAGCAACAGGUGUCUGGGGCAACAGCAGAGUGGAAAGAGAACGUGUAGAUCAGACAUACCCAGGUGGAAACUGACUCUACCAAUGACUGGCUGGCUGCAAUACCUUGGCGAUUAUCCUUAACCUAGCCUCAACCUGUGACACGGCAAUGGCAGCUUAGAGAGGUUAAGCUACUUGAGUCACACGCUUGUCAGGUGGAGGAGCUUAACCUUGGAUGCAGGAGUAUCCGUUUCUACUGUCUGAACUCUUCCUAACUGCUUUGGAAUGACGGAAUGAGGAAAUGCACCCAAUGUGAAUUUUGUGUUCACCAUUACCUGCAAAAUGUCGGUGGCUAAUCCCAGCUUUGGCUGACCGUCCUGAUAUCCAGAGCAAUGGUUCCUAAAUUUUGGUCCAUGGUCCAGUGCCAGCUUAGGACCAAGGAUUCACCAGUCUUUGAUGUGAGGAAAAUAAGAACAUAAAAUUGGCUAGGCGUGGUGGCUCACGGCCGUAAUCCCAACAAUUUGGGAGGCCGAGGCGGGUGGAUGACCUGAGGUCGGGAGUUUGAGACCAGCCUGACCAACGUGGUGAAACCCCAUCUCUACCAAAAAUACAAAAAUUAGCUGGGCUUGGUGGCGCAUGCCUGUAAUCGCAGCUACUCGGGAGGCUGAGGCAGGAGAAUCGCUUGAACCUGGGAGAGGGGGCAUUGCAGCGAGCCAAGAUCACACCACUGCUCUCCAGCCUGGGCAACAGAGUGAAACUCCAUCUCAAAAAUAAAUAAAUAAAUA